CGUGGUGUAGCGCAGACCGGCUAGCGCGCUUGGUUCGGGACCAAGAGGUUGGAGGUUCAAAUCCUCUCACCCCGACCA
RNAcentral lists this transfer RNA (78 nucleotides) under bacterium. RNAcentral describes it as "tRNA-Pro". It matches the Rfam family "tRNA". Rfam says of the family: Transfer RNA (tRNA) molecules are approximately 80 nucleotides in length. Their secondary structure includes four short double-helical elements and three loops (D, anti-codon, and T loops). The record is from RNAcentral.